This 30-nucleotide non-coding RNA is filed under the name Rattus norvegicus (Norway rat). The record is from RNAcentral. Lineage: Eukaryota; Metazoa; Chordata; Mammalia; Rodentia; Muridae.
UCCUCAGGGCAAAUGGGUGACCUCAGGUUC